RNAcentral lists this ribosomal RNA (402 nucleotides) under Capnocytophaga granulosa. RNAcentral's name for it is "bacterial SSU rRNA". It matches the Rfam family "Bacterial small subunit ribosomal RNA", at positions 28 to 432 of the family's 1533-position model. The record is from RNAcentral. Lineage: Bacteria; Pseudomonadati; Bacteroidota; Flavobacteriia; Flavobacteriales; Flavobacteriaceae.
GAUGAACGCUAGCGGCAGGCCUAACACAUGCAAGUCGAGGGAGAAGCCCUUCGGGGCAGAAACCGGCGCACGGGUGCGUAACGCGUAUGCAACCUACCUUUCACAGGGGGAUAGCCCGAAGAAAUUUGGAUUAAUACCCCAUAAUAUUAUUGAAUGGCAUCAUUUGAUAAUUAAAAUUACGAUGGUGAAAGAUGGGCAUGCGUCCUAUUAGCUAGUUGGAGUGGUAACGGCACCCCAAGGCUACGAUAGGUAGGGGUCCUGAGAGGGAGAUCCCCCACACUGGUACUGAGACAGGGACCAGACUCCUACGGGAGGCAGCAGUGAGGAAUAUUGGUCAAUGGUCGGAAGACUGAACCAGCCAUGCCGCGUGCAGGAAGAAAUGCCCUUAUGGGUUGUAAACUG